Long non-coding RNA from Lepidothrix coronata (blue-crowned manakin), 1609 nucleotides. RefSeq lists it as uncharacterized. Lineage: Eukaryota; Metazoa; Chordata; Aves; Passeriformes; Pipridae. The transcript has 3 exons. The record is from RefSeq and is a predicted model, not a curated record.
GGCGGAGGCGGGAGGAGCCCCCGGCCCGGCCCGGCGCGGCGCAGGAGGCCGCGGGACCAGGUCUUUCUUCUUGAAAACCGGGGGCGCCCGAGUCGCUGCUGUGUGCCUGGACAGGGAGCAGCUGAGGUGGAGGGGGAUGCUCUCCUUCACGGCGCCGGUGAAGUGCUCCUUCUGCAGCCAGGCACUACUUUUCACGUGAAGAUGAAGAUUUGAAGAUUACUGUGACAUGACUUUUAAGUACUUAUGCAAUAUCAUUCCCAUGAAUUAGGAUCUGAGCCUUUUGCACUUGCAGAGAAAGCAGCACUGCUUUCUUUCUCAUUUGCAAAGAGAUUAAACCAGCAAUUGCAAUAAAAAAAUUAACUUUAUGGCAGCACUGAAGCUGAUUCUGUUGCUUUCACUUUAAAUUUGAAAAAAAAAAAAAAAAGGUCAGAAAAAAAUAUUUUUAAGCCAAAACCCUACUGGGGUAGGGUAUGAGGGCUUUUUUAAUUAUACCUUAGGCAAAAGCAAAUUUACUGCAUAUUCAUGAACACCAGUUACCAGAGCAGCCAGGAAUCCAACAGAAAAAAAGCACAGAACAACAGACAGAUAGAAAUAAGGAACUGCAGAUAGGAGUAAAGCAGUUCUCCAUUUGGGACACGCAUCCUGUGGCAGCUUUUAUGCCCCGGCAUGUGAUUUUUAUAGCAGAGUGGAAUAGUCUGUAUUUUAGCCCCACUUCAUAAAGGAGUUGAACUUAAAUAUUCAUGGGGGCUUGAGUGUUAAUUCUCUUCAACAAUAGGCAUUUCCAAUCCUGCACUGUCUAAUUUCACCGGUAUGCUUUACAUACUGGUUUAACAGGUUCUUUUCAUUUAAAUUGAUGCAGAUCUUAUUAAGGUAAUAUAGCUCAGAAUUGUUAUUGGGACUCUCUGAAAUUAGAUUCAUACAACAGGUCAUGAGUGAUCAGAGUGGGUCACCUGUUUCCAGAAUCUGAUCUUCACAACUGAAAAUGUCCUCAAGGGGGGCACCAGAGCCAUUCUUCAUCUUUUCAAUGCUGGGCCGGGGCAAACAGUUCUCCUGUUGCCAUGGACUGACAAACAACAAGCUCCAGGAGCGGUGGAUCCAUUCCCUGUCUGCUGUCUCUGGGGUGAAAUGAGGAUGGUUCCCUGCAUUAUUCAGGGAUUCCUAAUUUGUCGACCAGAAAAGCUGCACUUAAUGUGUGACUGUCCACGCUCACCCAAGGGGAUGGUGAGGGUGAGGAGGUGUUGCUGACCACUAACAGCCAACAUGUGUGGCUGCCAGCAGGGUCCUCACCUCUCAGUGAGUGUCUGUCUGUGUGCUGGCUGCAGCCAGAAGGCCGGGACUGAACUCAGGACAGAGCACAGCGGUGUUACAGGAACCUCUGUGCACAGAUUAGGGUCUGUUUACUGUGGCUUUGCAUUGAUAUUUUUGGGUUACUGAAAGCUGCAGGCUUGUCAGACGUGCACAUUCAUCUGCAGAACUGGGGGUGAACUCAGUGACCCAGAAGGUCCUUUCAGCUCCCCCGUUCAUCAUUUAUUCUGUAUCACUUUAUACAGUAAAUGAGGAGCUGUAGCUUGUCACCAUUCGAUUAAACACUUCCAAGCAACACUGACUU